This 497-nucleotide ribosomal RNA is filed under the name uncultured bacterium. RNAcentral's name for it is "partial 16S ribosomal RNA". It matches the Rfam family "Bacterial small subunit ribosomal RNA", at positions 28 to 507 of the family's 1533-position model. The record is from RNAcentral.
GAUGAACGCUGGCGGCGUGCCUAAUACAUGCAAGUCGAGCGAACAGACGAGGAGCUUGCUUCUCUGAUGUUAGCGGCGGACGGGUGAGUAACACGUGGAUAACCUACCUAUAAGACUGGGAUAACUUCGGGAAACCGGAGCUAAUACCGGAUAAUAUAUUGAACCGCAUGGUUCAAUAGUGAAAGACGGUUUUGCUGUCACUUAUAGAUGGAUCCGCGCCGCAUUAGCUAGUUGGUAAGGUAACGGCUUACCAAGGCGACGAUGCGUAGCCGACCUGAGAGGGUGAUCGGCCACACUGGAACUGAGACACGGUCCAGACUCCUACGGGAGGCAGCAGUAGGGAAUCUUCCGCAAUGGGCGAAAGCCUGACGGAGCAACGCCGCGUGAGUGAUGAAGGUCUUCGGAUCGUAAAACUCUGUUAUUAGGGAAGAACAAAUGUGUAAGUAACUGUGCACAUCUUGACGGUACCUAAUCAGAAAGCCACGGCUAACUACGUG